GGGGAAUUUUGGACAAUGGGCGAAAGCCUGAUCCAGCAAUGCCGCGUGCAGGAUGAAGGCCUUCGGGUUGUAAACUGCUUUUGUACGGAACGAAAAGGCUCUGGCUAAUACCUGGGGCACAUGACGGUACCGUAAGAAUAAGCACCGGCUAACUACGUGCCAGCAGCCGCGGUAAUACGUAGGGUGCGAGCGUUAAUCGGAAUUACUGGGCGUAAAGCGUGCGCAGGCGGUUUUGUAAGACAGAUGUGAAAGGUACCGGCUCAACCGGUAACAUGCAUUUGAAACUGAAAGACUUGAGUAUUGGAGAGGCAAGUGGAAUUCCUAGUGUAGCGGUGAAAUGCGUAGAUAUGCGGAGGAACACCGAUGGCGAAGGCAAUCCCCUGGGCCUGCACUGACGCUCAUGCACGAAAGCGUGGGGAGCAAACA
This 426-nucleotide ribosomal RNA is filed under the name uncultured Comamonadaceae bacterium. Its description in RNAcentral is "bacterial SSU rRNA". It matches the Rfam family "Bacterial small subunit ribosomal RNA", at positions 356 to 774 of the family's 1533-position model. Lineage: Bacteria; Pseudomonadati; Pseudomonadota; Betaproteobacteria; Burkholderiales; Comamonadaceae. The record is from RNAcentral.